This 316-nucleotide ribosomal RNA is filed under the name Microdipoena guttata. Its description in RNAcentral is "eukaryotic LSU rRNA". It matches the Rfam family "Eukaryotic large subunit ribosomal RNA", at positions 42 to 347 of the family's 3401-position model. The record is from RNAcentral. Lineage: Eukaryota; Metazoa; Arthropoda; Arachnida; Araneae; Mysmenidae.
AUUAAUAAGCGGAGGAAAAGAAACCAACUGGGAUUCCCUGAGUAACGGCGAGCGAAAAGGGAACAGUCCAGCGCCGAAUCCCGCACCGGAGACGGUGCCGGGAAAUGUGGCGUUUAGGAGUGAGCGUGCCGGAGGAAGAGCUCUGCAGCAAGUCCCCCUGACCGGGGCUGUUUUCCAAAGCGGGUGCGAGACCCAUAGCUGCUAGGCCUCUUUCGGAUGCGAUCUCCUUGGAGUCGGGUUGCUUGGGAGUGCAGCCCUAAGUGGGUGGUAAACUCCACCUAAGACUAAAUACGACCGUGAGACCGAUAGCGAACAA